Molecule: long non-coding RNA, 202 nt
Organism: Amphimedon queenslandica
Lineage: Eukaryota; Metazoa; Porifera; Demospongiae; Haplosclerida; Niphatidae
Exons: 3
Source: RefSeq, a predicted model, not a curated record
AAAUAUUGUGAGAUUCCAAAGUGUCCUAUGUAUUUUGUCAUAGGGUAUGAUUCAAGGUUACAUGUACAUGUAUAUUUGUUUGAUGGGUAUGUCAUAUAAGCAUGGCCACAGUAGAUUAUGAAUGACGGCACUGUGCAUGUUUAUGUACGUAAUCAGUAUGUCCAUAAUAAUGAUUAUUAGAAAUAUUGAAAGAAACUAAAGG